UUGGAGGGCAAGUCUGGUGCCAGCAGCCGCGGUAAUUCCAGCUCCAAUAGCGUAUAUUAAAGUUGUUGCAGUUAAAAAGCUCGUAGUUGAAUUUCGGGGUCAGUACGCUGGUCGUGCCUUGGUAUGCACUGGUGUCACUGAUUCCUCACUUCUGAAGAACCGUUAUGCCAUUUAUUUGGUGUGAUGGGGAAUCAGGACUGUUACUUUGAAAAAAUUAGAGUGUUUAAAGCAGGCUCGCGCUUGAAUACAUUAGCAUGGAAUAAUGAAAUAGGACGUUUGAUCUUAUUUUGUUGGUUUCUAGGAUCGACGUAAUGAUUAAUAGGGAUAGUUGGGGGCAUUAGUAUUCAAUUGUCAGAGGUGAAAUUCCUGGAUUUAUUGAAGACUAACUACUGCGAAAGCAUUUGCCAAGGAUGUUUUCAUUAAUCAAGAACGAAAGUUAGGGGAUCGAAGACGAUCAGAUACCGUCGUAGUCUUAACCAUAAACUAUGCCGACUAGGGAUCGGAUGAUGUUAUUUUUAAUGACUCAUUCGGCGCCUUACGGGAAACCAAAGUGUUUGGGUUC
Molecule: ribosomal RNA, 562 nt
Filed under: uncultured Glomeromycotina
Lineage: Eukaryota; Fungi; Glomeromycota
Description: SSU rRNA
Rfam family: Eukaryotic small subunit ribosomal RNA
Source: RNAcentral